RNAcentral lists this ribosomal RNA (253 nucleotides) under uncultured bacterium. RNAcentral describes it as "partial 16S ribosomal RNA". It matches the Rfam family "Bacterial small subunit ribosomal RNA", at positions 524 to 776 of the family's 1533-position model. The record is from RNAcentral.
UACGGGGGGGGCAAGCGUUGUUCGGAAUUACUGGGCGUAAAGGGCUCGUAGGCGGCCAACUAAGUCAGACGUGAAAUCCCCAGGCUCAACCUGGGAACUGCGUCUGAUACUGGAUGGCUUGAAUCCGGGAGAGGGAUGCAGAAUUCCAGGUGUAGCGGUGAAAUGCGUAGAGAUCGGCAGGAACACCCAGGGGGAAACCAGUCGACUGGGCAUCUACUGACGCUGAGGUGCGAGAGCGUGGGGAGCGAACCGG